Artibeus jamaicensis (Jamaican fruit-eating bat) is the source of this 4377-nucleotide long non-coding RNA. RefSeq lists it as uncharacterized. The record is from RefSeq and is a predicted model, not a curated record. The transcript has 3 exons. Lineage: Eukaryota; Metazoa; Chordata; Mammalia; Chiroptera; Phyllostomidae.
CGGCCGGCGCACUCAGCUUUGCCGUUCUGAGCCCCGCCUUUCACACUGACCGCACGCCCUCGGCUAGGCGCCGGCGGGAAAAACCCCGCUGGUGCAGACCUGUCCUGCAGCCGCGGCACUUACCGCCCCCAACUACUACUCCUCCCGGGACAGGCUCUGCAGCUGCCAGCCUGGGCUCUGACUGGGCCUCGCUACGAAGGGACCAGAGGGUCUUUCUCCAGCCACAUCCAGAAUCCCUAGAACCUUCCUGGACCUAGAGAAUGGUGAAUUAUGGCCCCAGUUCAUGGAAUGCUGGUUCGAGAUGCUGCGCUAAUAACUUUCUUGCCCACAAAAAUCGUCCCCCCACACUGGGCGAGGCUGCAGAGACCUGGUCAGAAUUUCUCCAGACACAGCGUGAGUGGCAUUGAUGUCACUUCUGUUGCCUCUGUGGGGUUUGGGCCAUGGCAUCUGCAUUUCCCAGUGUUGAGCUGGGGAAGCACACGGCAGGUGCUCUCGCCAGCUGCAAGGUGGGUGAGAGAGGUUGCUGCCCAGGACGGCGUAUGAGAGGACUUUCAAUGGGCUGGCCCAGGUCCACUCUUCACCCUUCCCCAUCCUACUCUGUGGACUCCAUUGCCCGGUCCCCUUGCCAUCUGGCUUUUGUUGGGCUUGGCCAAUGGGAAGCGCUCACUGGGAUCGGAGGAUGGAGGGGAGAGGGGUUGAGGGAGUAUUUAUUCACCUGUCAGGGUGGCUUCAGGUUGGCCGCCAUCCUCUACUGAAGUCGCCAGCUCCUGUCACAGUCCCUCGCCUGUACUGCUCUCCCUGCUCCUUCCCCCAGGCCCGGGAUGGUAACCGCUCCUCCACGUGCCAGCUAGUCCCAGGGCACCACGCCGUCUACACUGGUUCCUUUAAAAGUAUCGACACAUCUGAACAGCAUCCGUGUGCUGACCUCCCCUCUGUCAUCCUGCUUGACUGUGCCUCUUGCUCUCCACCAAGACCCCACCUGCUGCGGAAGUGGCCCUACCACUUCCCGCACACUCUCUAAUGGAGACGAUGUGCGUGUGUUUUAGAGGGGCACCCAGAUGCUCUACCAGAAAACAAAAAUCACUGAUUUUCCAGUUCAGUCUUCCAGUUAGCACAGCUGGCCAGCCUCAGAGGAAUUCCCUCUCUGCAUCCCAAACAGCUGAAUGAGUCCUGCUUCCUCACUAGGCUCCGGUGCCAGCUCAUCUCGGUUCCCCCGCAGCCUCAGGCCUCUGCCUGCAGCCCACCCCAUGCUUCCUGCCUGUGAGCUUCCUGGCCCUCGUUCAGGUGCACACUUUCCUUCUGAGAAAUACUCGCCCUGCAGCCGAGCACUUCCCAGGCCAGUUUCAGGCGGUAAGAAGGAUUUUUCUGACCAUGAUUUUUUUCUGGUGUUAACCACACUCCGGCAGGCUAGGGCCUGAGCUGAUUAAUCAGAGGACUGGACUGAUUAACGGGGCAGUGUUUCCACUCCCACUCAGGGCGACCCACUGCUCUCAGAUCGGACGUGACUAAUGAGGACGGGAAGGCAGGAAAUUCCCGGGCUGGUGGAAGGGCAGCUGAAGCCCAGGUACAGUGUGAGCGCACACACCUGGAGAGCUGGGGAGGCCUUCAGGCUGGGCUUGCUCAGGCUGAGGCAGCUGGGCGGGGAGGUGACAUCUGAAUGUCUAGGCUUGAGUCCCAAAUCUGCUGCUUUCUGGUUGUUAGAGUUCUGGCGAAUUAUGUAGUGUCCCUGAGCCUCAGCUUCUUCUUCUUUCAAAUGGGGUUAAUAAUGGCCCUGGCUGGUGUGGCUCAGUGGAUUGGUUGCUGGCCUACAAACCAAGAGGUCACUGGUUCGGUUCCCAGUCAGGACACAUGCCUGGACUGCAGGCCAGGCCCCCAGUUGGGGGCAUGCUAGAGACAGCCAAUUGAUGUAUCUCUUGCACAUCCAUGUUUCUCUCCCUUUUUUCUUCCCUUCCCUUCACUCUAAAAUAAAUAAUGAAAUCUUUUAAGAACAGUGCGAGGUUAAUAAGGAAGAUCAGUUGAAGGAUGAGACAUAAGGGUGCUCUCAGGAAAACAGGUUGGCACAGAAGCCAGGAGUGCAGCCUCGGAGGUGCCAGGGGAGCCAGUUGAGCUGGGAAGGUACAAAGGGGGGCUUGGCCGACCAAGGCGGGGUGGCGGGGCCCAGGCUGGGGCUGCUCAGCCAGCCUUGACCAGCCUCUGCCCUCGUCUCCUGCUUAUGGACAAUGGAUGGGGUCCCGGCUCUUUACACUGGCUGGGCGACUUCGGAAAGUUAUGACCUCUCCGUGCCUUAGUUUCCUUAUCUGUGGAAUUGGGAAUAACAUCUCACAGUAGUCAGUGAGUUAAUAAGUAUUUUUAAAAACUUCUUAGAACUGUUCUAGGCAGCGCUCAGCAAAUGCUGGGGUAGCCUCUUCACCCCCGGCCUGUGCAAGGCUUGUGUGUGCCCCCGGCUCCGGUAUACAGGCUUGCGUGAGGCCGAGCUGGGGCGUGGGGUUUAUUUUCUUCAACGUGCUGCUAAAUUUGCUGCUAAGGGGCUCCCGUUUCCCUGGUGUGUGGAUGCUGGUGGAGGACAGAGGCGAAAUGAGUGGCGUCCAGCAUCCAGGAGCUCCUCCAGGUGUGCCUGCCCGGAGCCCCCAGAGAGAACCAUUCCCAGCUCCCUGCGGUCCCCCUGGAUGAGCGUGGGUGCCUCGCACAGGGGUGGGUGGUAGGGUGGACUGGCGAGGACUGUGGGACCCAGACUGGGGCCUCGUCCAGAAAUGCUGGGAAAUCCCUGCGGGCUGGGUUCAGGCCUUGCCCCCCCCCCCCGGCUCCCAGGCUGUGAGCUAGUGCCUUGGGGGUGGUAAUGGUGCUGGAAAGGUGGCAUAGCCUUGAACUGCAGACUGCCCGGGUUCACAUCCCAGCUCUGCCAUCUGCCAACCGACCUCGCCUCUCAGCGCCCCACCUGUAACGUGAGGAGGGCAGCGGGGCCCUGCCUCCUGGGGUGCUGGGUAGUGAGCUCAGAGCAGUUCCUGGCCCCGAGGGGGUGCUCGGUGGAUGCCAGCUGUUGUUAAUGUGCCGCCAGCCACGGCGCCCUCUGACUACCAGGGAGAGACAGCUAUUGUGACAACUGUUGUGACAGCCAGAGUAACGAUCCCUUCAAAGAUGUCCAUGCAUCCUAACCUGCACCUGUGAAUGUGUUGCCUUACAAGGCAAAAGGGACUUUGCAGAUGUGGUAGGUGAAGGAGAUUAACCUGCACAGCCGAAAGGGAGAGCACUGAGGGAUGCAGGGUGGGAAAGGGGCGACCAGCCACUGUUGGCUCUGAAGAUGGGGGUUGGCCACAAGCCAGGAAAGGUGGGCAGCCUCUGGAAGCUGGGAAGGCAGUGGGUUCUGUCCUCCAGCCUCCACGAAAGACUCAGCCGUGCCAACACCCCGAGACCCACUUCUGGCCUCCAGAACUGUAAGGAGCCCUGACUGGUAAUGGAACCUGUGACCUUGUUGGUGUAGGAGGCGAUGCUGCAACUAACUGAGCCACCCGGCCAGGGCCUACAUUUGUAUUGUUUUAAGCCACCAAGUUUACGGGAAUUUGUUACAACCACCAAAGGGAACUCGUACAGCUGCCAAGACCCAACACGGCUGCAUCCUUGAAGGAAGAACCACAGUGAGUCACCACAGCAGGGACAGAGGCACGGUUGUGCCGCCCGCGCUGCUUGCCCCUCGAGGUGAAGAAACAGCCUGGCCAAGGAACUGAACGUCCCCUGGCCGCAGGCCAGAGAUGGACUGUUCAGGGCAGGAGAGCUCAGGGCCGGCUCUGUUGGCUGACGAAAGGCCUCCUGGAGGGGCUGGACCCUUGGCAGGGCCUGGAAGGAUGGAGAGUAUGGGGUUUGGACCAGGAGGAGGAGGAGGAAGGAAAGGCUCUGUGGGAAGGGACCCAGCUAUUCAUGCAUCUGCUCAUCCAGCUCCUGGCUCCAGGCCCUGGGGAUGGGGACCUGGAUGGUGAAUUGAGCGAGACAGACCUGGUGGCUGUUCUUACGGAGUUUAGGCUCUGUGGUGGAAGCCAAUAUGCCAUUACAGUAAAACACAAGACGUGUGACAGCAGGAGUGCAGCUUGUUAAGGGAAGCACAGCUGGAUGGGCUUCCUGGAGGAAGCGACCCUUCAGCUGAUGCAGGGUAAACUGACGCUUUGUUUUGUAUUGCUUUGGGCUCUGUGUGGUACCCUGCACUCGGCAGGUGCUGACUGAUGGGAGUUUAGCCAUAUGGCUUGUUAUUCCCAGUCUAAUUCCUUCUUAAUCCGUCUUGUUACACUAAGGAGAACACUCAGUUGGACACUUGUCCGUUUUGAGUGCGACUUUAAUUCUCGCUAAUCUCCCUUUGUAACAGGUAUUAAUUAUAAUUUAAUAACGCUG